Long non-coding RNA from Carassius gibelio (silver crucian carp), 2827 nucleotides. RefSeq lists it as uncharacterized. NCBI's taxonomy places the organism in Eukaryota, Metazoa, Chordata, Actinopteri, Cypriniformes, Cyprinidae. The record is from RefSeq and is a predicted model, not a curated record. The transcript is spliced from 3 exons.
UGUAAAAAAUAAUUCAGUGGCUUAGUAAAUUUCACAAAAAUAAAGAGCUAUAUUUACUUAAUAAAAUCUUUUGAAAUCAUUUAAGUGAUAUUUUGAGUGGGUCAGGUUAAAAAUAAUAAUUAAAAAUCCAACAAAUAAUUUCUCUAAAAUUUACAUAUAUUAUUUAAGUUUAUUUAAUGAAAAUAAAUAAGUAUUUUACUAACUAAUUAUAUUUUUAAUAUACCCUCAAUAUUUCUGGUGAAUUCUAAUAUAAAUAUUUGAUAAUUAUUUACUUGUACUGAUCUGUUUUAGAAACUAAAAUUAUUAAGUAUUUCCUACCAAUUUUCCUAAAUAAAGUUCCAGCUUAAUAAAAAACGGUUUAAAUAAAUUGAGUAAAUUUCGCGGCUAAAGUGAUCACGUGUGCAGCUCCGCAGGAAAAAAAAAUCUGCUUUCCUCAGCAGAGACGUCGACUAGCCAUACUCCUCACAACUCCUGGUAAGUAAGGUUAGUCAGCUAAUCCUACUUACGUUUGUAACACUUUAUUAUAAAGUUAAUAAUUAUUAAGCAUUUCCUAACAAUUGUCUUUGUAUUUUACGUCAUCUUCAACAAGUUUCGUAACUUAAUCGAGGUCACCUGAAGGACGGCGUUCCUGAGUUUCCUCAGCAACGGCAAGACCCGCACUCCUCUCAUAUCGGGAAGUUUAACGAGUUUCGCGGCUCAAGCAAGAGGCACCUGUCACUGAAGGACUGCUUUUCUCAGCAACGACGUGAACAGCAUUACUCGAAUUUCCUGGUUCAGCUGAUCUACCCGUCUUCGUACAAGUAGAGUUGGCAGAGGAGGUCAUAAAAAUCUACAUCCUUCGGGACAAUGAUGGGGCAGUCAGCGAUGUAGGAGUUGUGAUUGAGGGCAUCACUGUCCUCCGCAGUCUUGGGAAUCUCAGCAGAGCCUGCUGCUAUCUUUUGGGAGUCACGUAUGCAUUGGAUUUGAGAUAUCCCAAGACCCACAAAUACAGGUCCUUCUCAAAAAAUUAGCUUAUUGUGAUAAAGUUCAUUAUUUUCCAUAAUGUAAUGAUAAAAAUUAAACUUUCAUAUAUUUUAGAUUCAUUGCACACCAACUGAAAUAUUUCAGGUCUUUUAUUGAUUUAAUACUGAUGAUUUUGGCAUACAGCUCAUGAAAACCCCAAAUUCUCAAAACAUUAGCAAAUUUCAUCCGACCAAUAAAAGAAAAGUGUUUUUAAUACAAAAAAAAAAGUCAACCUUUAAAUAAUUAUGUUCAGUUAUGCACUCAAUACUUCGGGAAUCCUUUUGCAGAAAUGACUGCUUCAAUGCGGCGUGGCAUGGAGGCAAUCAGCCUGUGGCACUGCUGAGGUGUUAUGGAGGCCCAGGAUGCUUCGAUAGCGACCUUAAGCUCAUCCAGAGUGUUGGGUCUUGUGUCUCUCAGCUUUCUCUUCACAAUAUCCCACAGAUUCUCUAUGGGGUUCAGGUCAGGAGAGUUGGCAGGCCAAUUGAGCACAUUAAUACCAUGGUCAGUAAACCAUUUACCAGUUGUUUUCAGCACUGUGAGCAGGUGCCAGGUCGUGCUGAAAAACGAAAUCUUCAUCUCCAUAAAGCUUUUCAGCAGAUGGAAACAUGAAGUGCUCCAAAAUCUCCUGGUAACUAGCUGCAUUGACCCUGCCCUUGAUAAAACACAGUGGACCAACACCAGCAGCUGACAUGGCACCCCAGACCAUCACUGACUGUGGGUACUUGACACUGGACUUCAGGCAUUUUGGCAUUUCCUUCUCCCCAGUCUUCCUCCAGACUCUGGCACCUUGAUUUCCGAAUGACAUCCAAAAUUUGCUUUAUGCUAUAUUAUAAUGCUAUAUGCCAAAAUCAUCACUAUUAAAACAAUAAAAGACCUGAAAUAUUUCAGUUGUUGUGCAAUGAAUCAAAAAUAUAUGAAAGUUUAAUUUUUAUCAAUACAUUAUGGAAAAUAAUGAACUUUUAUCAUAAUAUAAAAUUUUUUUGAGAAGGACCUGUACUCACUUGAGUUGUUCCAAAAACUGUUUCUUGAGCUGGAUCCUCCAAAACUCUCUGUUAAUGUUCAGAGGUUAAAAAAUUAUCUUCUUGCACAGUAGUGGUUCAUGAUCAUCCCACAGAAUGGGUAUUCCUGAUGGAAGUGUUUCUGUUAUCUGAUUAAUUCUGUUGAAGGGAUAGUUCACUCAAAAAGAUGAUGUUGUCAUAAUUUACUCUCCCUCAAUUUGUCCCAAACCUGUACGAGUUUCUUUCUUCUGUUGAACACAAAAGAUAUUUUAAGUGAAGUGACGUGACAUUCAGCCAAGUAUUAAAGAGUGUUGGUUAACGCAUUUAAAGGUUGCCAUUGACUUUGCAUAGUAGCCUUUUUUUCUUUUCUUUUUUCUACCAUGGAAGUCAAUGGCAACUUUCAACUGUCUGUUAACCAACAUUCAUUAAAAUAUCUUUUGUGUUCAACAGAAGAAAGAAACUCUACAGGUUUGGGACAACUUGAGGGCGAGUACAUUAUGACAACAUCAUCUUUUUGGGUGAACUAUCCCUUUAAUAUUGAUGUAAGUGUUGCUUUUUUUUUAUGGUUUAAUGAGUGGUAAUGAGUGUGACUGCAAAUGGCUGGUAUGCACCAGGAACAAAGUAAGAUGUCAUUUCUCUUACGGCUAUCAUAUUUUACAUGUAAUCUACUUGAAUACUAAGAUGGAUGAAAUGUUUCAUAAGGUUUAAUCAUUUCCCUUAUGGCUGCUUUACAGUUUUUAAUUUUUGCAAUCUACUGGAAUAUUAAAAUGGAUAAAAUGUUUCAAAGGUUGAUUUUAGACUUUGUCUGAUGUUUAAUUGAUAAAUAA